Molecule: ribosomal RNA, 253 nt
Filed under: uncultured bacterium
Lineage: Bacteria
Description: partial 16S ribosomal RNA
Rfam family: Bacterial small subunit ribosomal RNA
Source: RNAcentral
UACAGAGGGUGCAAGCGUUGUUCGGAAUUAUUGGGCGUAAAGGGUGCGUAGGCGGUCUGGUAAGUCUUGUGUGAAAUCUUCGGGCUCAACUCGAAGUCUGCACGAGAAACUGCCGGGCUUGAGUAUGGGAGAGGUGAGUGGAAUUCCCGGUGUAGCGGUGAAAUGCGUAGAGAUCGGGAGGAACACCUGUGGCGAAGGCGGCCGGCUGGGGGUGCCCUGACGCUGAGGCGCGAAAGCGUGGGGAGCGAACCGG